Molecule: ribosomal RNA, 433 nt
Filed under: uncultured bacterium
Lineage: Bacteria
Description: partial 16S ribosomal RNA
Rfam family: Bacterial small subunit ribosomal RNA
Source: RNAcentral
AACGAACGUUGGCGGCAUGCCUAAUACAUGCAAGUCGAACGAGAUCUUCGGAUCUAGUGGCGCACGGGUGCGUAACGCGUGGGAAUCUGCCCUUGGGUUCGGAAUAACUUCUGGAAACGGAAGCUAAUACCGGAUGAUGACGUAAGUCCAAAGAUUUAUCGCCCAAGGAUGAGCCCGCGUAGGAUUAGGUAGUUGGUGAGGUAAAGGCUCACCAAGCCGACGAUCCUUAGCUGGUCUGAGAGGAUGAUCAGCCACACUGGGACUGAGACACGGCCCAGACUCCUACGGGAGGCAGCAGUAGGGAAUAUUGGACAAUGGGCGAAAGCCUGAUCCAGCAAUGCCGCGUGAGUGAUGAAGGCCUUAGGGUUGUAAAGCUCUUUUACCCGGGAUGAUAAUGACAGUACCGGGAGAAUAAGCUCCGGCUAACUCCGUG